AGAUGGCGACCGGCGCACGGGUGAGUAACACGUAUCCAACCUGCCGAUAACUCGGGGAUAGCCUUUCGAAAGAAGGAUUAAUACCCGAUGGCAUAGUUCUUCCGCAUGGUAGAACUAUUAAAGAAUUUCGGUCAUCGAUGAGGAUGCGUUCCAUUAGGUUGUUGGCGGGGUAACGGCCCACCAAGCCUUCGAUGGAUAGGGGUUCUGAGAGGAAGGUCCCCCACAUUGGAACUGAGACACGGUCCAAACUCCUACGGGAGGCAGCAUG
RNAcentral lists this ribosomal RNA (268 nucleotides) under uncultured bacterium. RNAcentral's name for it is "partial 16S ribosomal RNA". It matches the Rfam family "Bacterial small subunit ribosomal RNA", at positions 86 to 353 of the family's 1533-position model. The record is from RNAcentral.